GGGCUCGCUUUGGCAGCCCAUAUACUAAAACUGGAAUGAUACAGAGAGUAGCAUGGCCCCUGCACAAGGAAGAGGUGCAAAUUUGGGAAGUGUUCCAUAAAAAA
Callithrix jacchus (white-tufted-ear marmoset) is the source of this 104-nucleotide small nuclear RNA. The record is from Ensembl. NCBI's taxonomy places the organism in Eukaryota, Metazoa, Chordata, Mammalia, Primates, Cebidae.